This 253-nucleotide ribosomal RNA is filed under the name uncultured bacterium. RNAcentral's name for it is "partial 16S ribosomal RNA". It matches the Rfam family "Bacterial small subunit ribosomal RNA", at positions 524 to 776 of the family's 1533-position model. The record is from RNAcentral.
UACGUAGGGUGCAAGCGUUAAUCGGAAUUACUGGGCGUAAAGCGUGCGCAGGCGGUUAUGUAAGACAGGGGUGAAAUCCCCGGGCUUAACCUGGGAACUGCAUUUGUGACUGCAUAGCUAGAGUACGGUAGAGGGGGAUGGAAUUCCGCGUGUAGCAGUGAAAUGCGUAGAUAUGCGGAGGAACACCGAUGGCGAAGGCAACCCCCUGGACCUGUACUGACGCUCAUGCACGAAAGCGUGGGGAGCAAACAGG